CCUACGGGUGGCAGCAGUGGGGAAUAUUGCACAAUGGGGGAAACCCUGAUGCAGCGACGCCGCGUGAAGGAAGAAGUAUUUCGGUAUGUAAACUUCUAUCAGCAGGGAAGAAAAUGACGGUACCUGACUAAGAAGCCCCGGCUAACUACGUGCCAGCAGCCGCGGUAAUACGUAGGGGGCAAGGGUUAUCCGGAUUUACUGGGUGUAAAGGGAGCGUAGACGGCGUGCCAAGUCUGAUGUGAAAGGCCGGGGCUCAACCCCGGGACUGCAUUGGAAACUGGCAUGCUGGAGUGCCGGAGGGGCAAGCGGAAUUCCUGGUGUAGCGGUGAAAUGCGUAGAUAUUAGGAGGAACACCGGUGGCGAAGGCGGCUUGCUGGACGGUAACUGACGUUGAGGCUCGAAAGCGUGGGGAGCAAACAGGAUUAGAUACCCGGGUAGUC
This 440-nucleotide ribosomal RNA is filed under the name uncultured bacterium. RNAcentral describes it as "partial 16S ribosomal RNA". It matches the Rfam family "Bacterial small subunit ribosomal RNA", at positions 338 to 795 of the family's 1533-position model. The record is from RNAcentral.